CAGUCGCCACGGGAACACGUAGGGUGCGAGCGUUAAUCGGAAUUACUGGGCGUAAAGCGUGCGCAGGCGGUUCGUUAAGUCAGAUGUGAAAUCCCCGGGCUCAACCUGGGAACUGCAUUUGAGACUGUAUGGCUAGAGUGUGUCAGAGGGGGGUAGAAUUCCACGUGUAGCAGUGAAAUGCGUAGAUAUGUGGAGGAAUACCGAUGGCGAAGGCAGCCCCCUGGGAUAACACUGACGCUCAUGCACGAAAGCGUGGGGAGCUAACAGGAUUAGAUACCCGCGUAGUCCCUGUCUCUUAUAC
RNAcentral lists this ribosomal RNA (301 nucleotides) under uncultured bacterium. Its description in RNAcentral is "partial 16S ribosomal RNA". It matches the Rfam family "Bacterial small subunit ribosomal RNA", at positions 509 to 807 of the family's 1533-position model. The record is from RNAcentral.